Lycium ferocissimum is the source of this 4126-nucleotide RNA transcript. It is a transcript of the gene named putative disease resistance protein RGA3, with no coding region annotated. NCBI's taxonomy places the organism in Eukaryota, Viridiplantae, Streptophyta, Magnoliopsida, Solanales, Solanaceae. The transcript has 4 exons. The record is from RefSeq and is a predicted model, not a curated record.
AAUUGACCGAAUCAACCAUAUUUCAAAUCCUCUAAAAAUAUCAUAGAAGACUUGGCAGAAGAUCCAAGAUCAAUCCAAAAUAGUACUAUUAUGUUUAUUUGACCUUUGAGCAAAUAAAUCAUAAUUUAAUAUAGGUGGAGGGGAAAAAAAGGAGUCUCUCUGUUCCAAUAUAGUACUUGCUAAAAAUCCUACUUCACUUUUAAGAGUUUCAAUUCAAGAAGCUAAACAUAUUUGCUAUAUCUGAAGCAUAAUAAAUAGGUAAUUCUCUGGUAACAUGGCAGAAGCGUUCAUCGAAGUUUUAUUACAAAAUCUGAGCUCUUUUAUUCAAAAGGAGCUAGGAUUGCUUUAUGGCGUCGAUGAAGAAUUAAGAAAGCUUUCAAGCUUGCUAUCGACAAUCAAUGCUGUCCUCCAGGAUGCUGAUCAGGAACAACUGAAAGAAAAGGCAAUAAGAAACUGGUUGCAGAAGUUAAACUGUGCUACUUAUGAAGUUGAUGAUGUCUUGGAUGAAUGUGCAGGGAAAGCCAUCAGGUUGCAGGGAAAAGCCCGAAGAAAUGGAUGCAUUUCCAUGCCAUCUGGUUUUUCUUUUGAGAAUAUUUUGUUUCGUCGUCAGAUAGGGCAAAAGGUUAAAGAUGCCAUCAGGAAACUAGAUGGAAUUGCUGAGGAACGUAUUAAAUUCCAUUUGUCUGAAGUUGUGACCGCGAAGAAACAAUCCACAACAGACGAAGUACGUGAAACUGGCUUUGUUUUAACUCCGGCAGAAGUCUAUGGAAGGGACGAUGACAAAAGGAAGAUUGUUGAAAUCUUAAUGAAGCACGUCGAUGAUUUUCAAGAGCUUUUGGUUCUCCCUAUAGUUGGAAUGGGGGGUCUUGGAAAGACGACUCUUGCUCAAUUAAUUUUCAAUGAUGUGUGGGUGCACGAACAUUUCGAUUUGAAAAUUUGGGUUUGUGUGUCAUAUAAUUUUGACGAGAAGAGGUUGACAAGAGCAAUCCUAGAAGCCAUAGUUGGGAAAGAUAUAAAUGCUUCUGAGUUAGCUUCUUUACAAAGUCACCUCAUAACCUUGUUGAGAGGGAAAAGAUAUUUACUCAUUUUGGAUGAUGUUUGGAAUGAAGAUCAAGAGAAAUGGGAUAAAUUAAAAGCCUUACUAACAAUUGGAUCUAGAGGUACUUCAGUUAUUACCACUACUCGCCUAGAAAAGGUUGCUUCAAUUAUGGGAACAGUACAGCCACAUCGUUUAUCCUGCUUGUCCGCGUACGACUGUUGGUUGUUGUUCAAGCAACGUGCAUUUGGCCUAGAUAGAAAAGAGAGCCCCAAACUUGUUGAUAUUGGAAAAGAGAUUGUAAGAAGAUGUUGUGGGGUGCCUUUGGCUGCUAAAGCUCUAGGAAGUCUUUUGCGCUUUAAGAGUGAUGAAAAAGAAUGGUUGUUUGUCAGAGAUAGUGAUUUUUGGAAUUUGCCACAAGAAGAAAGUUCAAUCUUGCCUGCUCUAAGGUUGAGCUAUAUUCACCUUCCUCAAGAUUUGAGAAACUGUUUUUCUUAUUGUGCUAUAUUUGAGAAGGACUCCAAAAUUGACAAAGAAGAGCUAAUUUAUUUCUGGAUGGCGAACGGAUUUAUCUCAUCCGAGGGAAAUUCGGAACCUGAGGAUAGGGGUAAUGAAGUAUGGAAUGAAUUAUACUGGAGAUCUUUGUUCCAAGAAGUUCAACAAAAUUCAGAUGGGAGGAUGUUGUUUAAGAUACACGACCUUGUUCAUGACCUGGCCCAAUCUAUAAUGGAUGAUGGAAUUCAUGCAACAAAACUUGAAGGAUGGGAAAAGAUAUCGGCGAGCAGAAUUCGCCAUGCAACAAUACAUGCAGAAGAUAAGUCAUUUCUUGCUUUUCCUAAAAGUACUAUGCCUUACAACCCUUCAACAAUCACAAUGUAUGGUUCUUUAAGGGUGUUGAUUUUUUGCUCUGUUCAGUUAAAGGAAUUGCCAUCUGCAAUCGGAAAUCUAAUACAUUUAAGGUAUUUGGACCUUUUCAGUACAUGUAUUGAGAGUCUUCCUCACAGUAUAUGUUCUCUUCAGAACUUGCAGAUGCUAAGUGUAGAAGAUUGUUGCUUUACUUCGUCUUUUACCAAAAGAUCUGAAAUAUCUGAGAAAUCUUCGACAUCUUCGGCUAAGAGGCUGUCCAUUGAGUCACAUGCCUCCUAAUAUAGGACAAUUGACACACCUCAAGACUUUAAACAAGUUUGUUGUAGGGAAGAAAGGAUGUUCCAAGCUUAGUGAAUUGCGAUACUUGAAUCUUCAGGGAGAACUAGUUAUUGAACACCUUGAGAGGGUUGAAAAUCAUAUGGAGGCGAAAGAAGCUCUAAGUUCAAAGCAAAACCUCCAAAGUUUAGCUCUGUACUGGAACCAUUCCACUGGGUGUGAGUCAUCAAAGGAUGUUGAUCUGCAGGUGCUCGAAGCGCUAGAGCCUCAUUCCAACCUUAAGCAUUUGAAGGUAUCUGGUUUCAGAAGUACAACCUUGGCAAGUUGGAUGAGGGCUUCAGUUUUGGAAACCAUCAUUACCAUUUAUCUUCAUGAUUGUAAAUACUGCUCACAUCUCUCUCCACUAGUACAGCUUCCUUGUUUGAAAUUUCUUUCGCUGAGGGGAAUUCAUGCGGAGUACAUUGACAGUGACCUUGAAAGCGGAAUAUCCCGAUUAAGAAAGUUCCCAUCCUUGGAAUCACUUGAGAUGUGCAACCUCCCGAAUUUAAAAGGAGUUUCAAUCGAAGAAGGAGAAGAACUUUUUCCAAGUCUUCGCGAAAUAUGGAUCGAAGACUGCCCUUUGCUGACAUUUCCGCGUCUUUUAUCACUCAGAAUUUUGAGAAUUAUGACAUGCUCGAACACGACGCUAGCCUCUAUCUCUAAUCUUUGCGGUCUCACCUCCUUAACAAUUGAUAACAACAAGGAACUAACUUCUUUACCUGAAGAGAUGCUAACAAACCUCACCAAUCUUGAAAUACUGUCGAUAAGGACUUUCACAAAGCUGGAAGUACUGCCUAACAGCCUGGCAAGCCUCACUGCAUUGAAGUCCUUGCUUAUUGGUUACUGCAACCAACUAGAGUCUCUACCAGAUCAGGGAUUGCAAGGCCUCACCUCAGUCCGUAAAUUGUCAAUCAACCGCUCUGAUAGAUUGAAAUAUCUGUCUAAAGGAUUCCGGCACCUAGCUUCCCUGGAGGAACUGGAAAUCUUUGGGUGUCCAGAGUUGGUUUCUUUUCCAGACGAGUUUAAACACCUGAAUUCCCUUCAUCGUGUUCACCUUGAUGGCCUGUCAAUGUUCCACACGGGAGAAGACACUGUUAUUCACCCUAAGGAGUUGAUUUUGUGGCAAUUGCCUGAGGCUUUACGGCAUGUCCAUAAUCUGCAAUCUCUUUCUGUACGUAGAUUCCAAAGUUUGACUUUAUUGCCUGAGUGGUUAGGAGAACUUACGUCUCUCAAGGAACUGAACAUAUUACAGUGUGAUAAUCUUGCCUCACUGCCAGAGUCUAUGGAGAGAAUGAACCUUCAGUCCUUGAACAUUUUGGGUUGUGCAAUAUUGGAGAAGCGUUGCGAGCCGGGACAAGGAGAAGAUUGGUAUAAGAUUGCGCACAUUCCAAAAGUGAAAGUCAGUCAGCAUUGUGAUUUUUUUGGUUUCAACUUGUCAUCAGACAAGUUCAUUGGUCUAAGGCAAUUUCACUUAUAGAAGGCAUCAUUGCUGAGAUGAUAAAGUUGUAUUUUGAAUUUCGUAAUGGUACUAUUGGUGAAGUAUUGGCGGAAUAUUUAUGCUUAAUGCAGAUAUGACUACAAGUUGCUUCCACGGAACAACUUUUCAUCAAGAAGAAAAAUGCUGCUCCACGGAAAGAUCAACUGCUCUUGCUCAAAUUUCAUCUCUGUCAAAUUUGAAUAUUAAAAUAGUGUAUAUGGUCAUGAUUUAAUAGGUCAGGUCCACUUACUUUGUCUUAUGUUGAUCUGAAAUGAAGAAAAUGCUACAAUUAUGGACAUCCCAGUGGACCCCCUCGGUUUUUCGAGAGAGAAGAAAUACGAAUUGCUUUAACUUCUUAGCACUAAAGUUUGUUUUACUUCUUUCUUGAAUCUGUACUGCUUGAACUGCUAUUGGACUCCCUUUUAGCCUCA